ACAAUAUACAAGUGCCGCCAUCUAGGCAG
Molecule: small RNA, 29 nt
Filed under: Bombyx mori (domestic silkworm)
Lineage: Eukaryota; Metazoa; Arthropoda; Insecta; Lepidoptera; Bombycidae
Description: ovarian small RNA-10964
Source: RNAcentral